This is a non-coding RNA of Eurypyga helias (sunbittern), 137 nucleotides long. Lineage: Eukaryota; Metazoa; Chordata; Aves; Eurypygiformes; Eurypygidae. The record is from Rfam.
GUGGCUGUCUUCGCUGUUGGCCGCGUUCGCUAGAAAUGGAACGCGGCCGCAAGCAGCCACAAACAGCAAAGCAAAUGGUUCCUGCCGACAGUGUCUGUAGAGUUGUCGGAUUUUGCUGUGCGAUGGUUCCAUACAUG